This 272-nucleotide ribosomal RNA is filed under the name uncultured bacterium. RNAcentral's name for it is "partial 16S ribosomal RNA". It matches the Rfam family "Bacterial small subunit ribosomal RNA", at positions 947 to 1233 of the family's 1533-position model. The record is from RNAcentral.
UUAUUCGAUGCACGCGAAGAACCUUACCUGGGCUUGACAUGUACGUAGUAGUGAAGGGAAACCGGAACGAGCCUUCGGGCAGCGUAGACAGGUGCUGCAUGGCUGUCGUCAGCUCGUGUCGUGAGAUGUUGGGUUAAGUCCCGCAACGAGCGCAACCCGUGUUGCUAGUUACAAGUGUCUAGCGAGACUGCCGGUAAAAAGCCGGAGGAAGGUGCGGAUGAUGUCAAGUCAGCAUGGCCUAUAUGUCCAGGGCUACACACACGCUACAAUGG